This 71-nucleotide transfer RNA is filed under the name Promethearchaeota archaeon. Its description in RNAcentral is "Candidatus Lokiarchaeota archaeon (permafrost metagenome) tRNA-Gly". It matches the Rfam family "tRNA". From Rfam's summary of the family: Transfer RNA (tRNA) molecules are approximately 80 nucleotides in length. Their secondary structure includes four short double-helical elements and three loops (D, anti-codon, and T loops). Further hydrogen bonds mediate the characteristic L-shaped molecular structure. tRNAs have two regions of fundamental functional importance: the anti-codon, which is responsible for specific mRNA codon recognition, and the 3' end, to which the tRNAs corresponding amino acid is attached (by aminoacyl-tRNA synthetases). tRNAs cope with the degeneracy of the genetic code in two manners: having more than one tRNA (with a specific anti-codon) for a particular amino acid; and 'wobble' base-pairing, i.e. permitting non-standard base-pairing at the 3rd anti-codon position. The record is from RNAcentral. Lineage: Archaea; Promethearchaeati; Promethearchaeota.
GCGCUUGUAGUAUAGUGGUAAUAUGCUAGCUUCCCAAGUUAGCGUCCCGGGUUCAAUUCCCGGCAGGCGCA